AUUUAUAUAGUUUAAUAAAAACAUUAUUUUUUCAAAAUAAAAUUAAAUAUUUAUUUUAUAAAUA
Molecule: transfer RNA, 64 nt
Filed under: Stenus boops
Lineage: Eukaryota; Metazoa; Arthropoda; Insecta; Coleoptera; Staphylinidae
Description: tRNA-Glu
Source: RNAcentral